Long non-coding RNA from Saccostrea echinata, 215 nucleotides. RefSeq lists it as uncharacterized. The transcript has 3 exons. The record is from RefSeq and is a predicted model, not a curated record. NCBI's taxonomy places the organism in Eukaryota, Metazoa, Mollusca, Bivalvia, Ostreida, Ostreidae.
UAGCUGCCACAGAACUGGUUAAAACUGGCAUUUACAUCAGCCAGAACUAUCAAAAUAGAUGCAUCAAUUUCUCCACUGGCUACUCCCAAACAAUUUGAACAAUUCAUUCAGGCAGCAAGUGUUUGCACCAAUAAAAUAAAAAGAAUUGAUUUCAUCCAGAAGAACUGUUUGAACUGUGGACUGUUUGAAAUAUUUUGCACCUGCUCAGAAAUCCC